This 212-nucleotide ribosomal RNA is filed under the name uncultured bacterium. RNAcentral's name for it is "partial 16S ribosomal RNA". It matches the Rfam family "Bacterial small subunit ribosomal RNA", at positions 122 to 334 of the family's 1533-position model. The record is from RNAcentral.
CAACCUGCCUUUCAGUGGGGGACAACAGUUGGAAACGACUGCUAAUACCGCAUAAUGCAUUUUGACCGCAUGGUCGAGAUGCCAAAGAUUUAUUGCUGAAAGAUGGGCUCGCGUCUGAUUAGAUAGUUGGUGAGGUAACGGCCCACCAAGUCGACGAUCAGUAGCCGGACUGAGAGGUUGAACGGCCACAUUGGGACUGAGAUACGGCUCAG